This 499-nucleotide ribosomal RNA is filed under the name uncultured bacterium. RNAcentral describes it as "partial 16S ribosomal RNA". It matches the Rfam family "Bacterial small subunit ribosomal RNA", at positions 28 to 507 of the family's 1533-position model. The record is from RNAcentral.
GACGAACGCUGGCGGCGUGCCUAAUACAUGCAAGUCGAGCGAAGUUUUUCUGGUGCUUGCACUAGAAAAACUUAGCGGCGAACGGGUGAGUAACACGUAAAGAACCUGCCUCAUAGACUGGGACAACUAUUGGAAACGAUAGCUAAUACCGGAUAACAGUAUUUCUCGCAUGAGAGAUAUUUAAAAGUUGGUUAUGCUAACACUAUGAGAUGGCUUUGCGGUGCAUUAGCUAGUUGGUGGGGUAAAGGCCCACCAAGGCGACGAUGCAUAGCCGACCUGAGAGGGUGAUCGGCCACACUGGGACUGAGACACGGCCCAGACUCCUACGGGAGGCAGCAGUAGGGAAUCUUCCGCAAUGGGCGAAAGCCUGACGGAGCAACGCCGCGUGAGUGAAGAAGGAUUUCGGUUCGUAAAACUCUGUUGUUAGGGAAGAAUGGAUAUGUAGUAACUAUACAUGUAAGAGACGGUACCUAACCAGAAAGCCACGGCUAACUACGUG